This is a long non-coding RNA of Mustela erminea (ermine), 108 nucleotides long. RefSeq lists it as uncharacterized. The transcript has 3 exons. NCBI's taxonomy places the organism in Eukaryota, Metazoa, Chordata, Mammalia, Carnivora, Mustelidae. The record is from RefSeq and is a predicted model, not a curated record.
UGGAAUAGUAUUCAGCCGUUAAAAAGAAGAAAAUCGUGCCUUUUGCAGCAACACGGAUGAACCUGGAGGGCUUUAUGCUAAGUGAAAUAAGCCACUCAUUGAAGGACA